UCUCGGUCAUCUGAGCGGCGUGGAACUACCUCUUCCCAUUCCGAACAGAACCGUAAAACGCGCCAGCGCUGACAAUAGCUGGGGGGCAACCCUCCGUGAAGAUAGGUCAUGGCCGAGAA
RNAcentral lists this ribosomal RNA (119 nucleotides) under Candidatus Amesbacteria bacterium GW2011_GWA1_48_9. The record is from RNAcentral. Lineage: Bacteria; Candidatus Amesiibacteriota. RNAcentral also lists the same sequence under 1 other name.